RNAcentral lists this unclassified non-coding RNA (274 nucleotides) under Hevea brasiliensis (rubber tree). The record is from RNAcentral. Lineage: Eukaryota; Viridiplantae; Streptophyta; Magnoliopsida; Malpighiales; Euphorbiaceae.
AUAUGUAGUGAAUACAAUAAUUUCAACAGGCAUUGACAGGAACCUAAUUGCCCCAUUUCUGGAAACUUUAGAUCAUUACAUACUUCCAACAAAUUGAUUUCACCUUUUCAAAAAGUAGCUUUUUUUUUCCUCCUCCUCUUCUUCUUCUUUUUGCUUCUGUACUCAUAGAAAUGACUUAAUACACUAAAAUUAAUUGCAGAAAAAAUGCAAGUUUUUAUAGUUUUCUGGCUCAGCCUAUACCAUGUGUUGAUGUUACUUUCUGCUUGCCUAAUUA